CCUGGCACUAUGAGAGGACAGGAGGAAAAGGCACCAGCUCUUACCUGCAGGCUGUUGAAGAUGAUGAAAAAGACUAACAUCCAGAGGUGCCGAUCAUCAGUUGAGUGCACUCAGUGAAAUCGCAAAAUCAGGUCCAGUAGAAUCUAGAUACCUUCUACAACUGUCUUCAGAAGGUACAGGCUCAGUCAAACACCAAGCUGAGAUUCUGCCUGAUAACAUCAUUGACCAAAGUCAUGUAUACCCUUAAAAAACUAUCUGAAUGUCUGGCAAGUUUUCUGUGAACAUUUCUUUACAUUAAUGAAAGCUGCACAGAAAUGAAAACCCACAGAAAUGGAUCACUUCUGCUAACACCCUAAGGAAAUGCACUGACCUCCUUCAACAGUUCUGACUGUGGUCCAGUUCUGGGCUCAACAAUGCAACAAAGAAAUGGAGUAAAGCAAUACAGCAGAGGCCACAAAGAUCAUAUGUUGACUGAAGCAUCUCUCCUGUGAGGAGAGGCUGAGAGAGUUGGGAUUAUUCAGCCUGGAGAAAAGCAGGCUCAGGGGGAUCUUAUCCAUGUGUAUAAGUAACUGAUGGGAGUGUCAAAGAGGCAGCCAAACACUUCUCAGUAGUUCCCAAUGUCAGGACAAGAUGCAAUGGCACAAAUUAAUAGAGAUGAAAUUUCAUCUGAACACAUGAUAAAGAUUUUUUUUUUUUACUGUGGAGGUGUCCAAACACUGGGCCAAGCUGUCUAGAGAAGUUAUGGAGUCUCUGUCAUUAAAUAUAACCAAAACCUAACUGAACAUAGUCCUGGGCAACCGACCCUGCUUGAGCCAGGGUGUUGGACUAGAGAGUCUCUAGAUGCCCUUGCAACUUCAAUAGUUCUGUGAUUCUCUGUAGUGUUUGUAUAACAGUUUGAGGAAAAAAAAUGAAAAUAAGUGAAUGCAACUUUGUAUGCAUCUCCACAACAAUCUGCGUCUUCUUAUGAUCAGCUCAUCAUCAAAAGGCACAACUAAGACUUUGAAUCAAUAUACGAAUAAAAAAGAAGUGGAAUAGUGGAAAUCUCUUGAAAAAGCUGGUAGUAUGAGUAAGGAAAUCCUUCAAGUAAAAUAAAACACUUAGAGCUUUGCUUG
Molecule: long non-coding RNA, 1112 nt
Organism: Apus apus (common swift)
Lineage: Eukaryota; Metazoa; Chordata; Aves; Apodiformes; Apodidae
Exons: 4
Source: RefSeq, a predicted model, not a curated record